This is a long non-coding RNA of Schistocerca gregaria, 439 nucleotides long. RefSeq lists it as uncharacterized. The record is from RefSeq and is a predicted model, not a curated record. Lineage: Eukaryota; Metazoa; Arthropoda; Insecta; Orthoptera; Acrididae. The transcript has 3 exons.
GCAAGGUAUUAUAACAAGUGUACAGACCUCCGAUUAGUCAGUCUGCAUGAGUCUGUACGAGUCUGCAUUUAUCUGCACCUGUCUGUACCAGUCUACCUCCUGGAGAAAAACAAAGAGAACCAUUGGGAAUAUCAUCUAGUGCAUACAAGAAAAUCACACUCAUGAAACGUUGUUGUGUACAUAAAACUUUAAGAGACCAGUUACAUAAAGACGCAUUUUACAAAUCUAUUCUUGCAUUUGUUGUCAAUGAGGUACCUUCGUCCUUUGCAAUGCCAGCUGUAUCUCUGAAACCAUUCAAGAGACUUGUUAACUUCAGUGAUACUACAUUUCGUUUUGAUGAAAUGUACCGCAGACAUUUCCCUUUAGUAACCCUUGAUUCAGUAUGAAAAUUUACCUAAGUAACUUGCAAAUAAAUGACUUACAGAUUUGGAAAAAAUAA